This is a long non-coding RNA of Anolis carolinensis (green anole), 23669 nucleotides long. RefSeq lists it as uncharacterized. The record is from RefSeq and is a predicted model, not a curated record. The transcript has 2 exons. Lineage: Eukaryota; Metazoa; Chordata; Lepidosauria; Squamata; Anolidae.
GGUGGGUCAGGGGUUCAACCCCCCCCCCCCCGAAAUUUUCAAAACCCCUCCCGAAAUUUUUUUCUGGCUACGGCCCUGCUGGUCCACAAUCCUUCAGAAUGUUAAGGGGGUGAAUUAUCUUUUGGGAAAAAAAUACAAAUAAAGUCCUAUGCACAUUAGUAAGGUAAAAGUUUCCCCUGAUGUUUGACCGACUCUGGGGGUUGGUGCUCAUCUCCAUUUCUAAACCGAAGAGCCGGCGUUGUCCAUAGACACCUGCAAGGUCAUGUGGCCGGCAUGACUGCAUGGAAUGCCGUUACCUUCUCGCCGGAGCAGUACCUAUUGAUCUACUUACAUUGGCAUGUUUUCAAACGGUUAGGUUGGCAGAAGCUGGAGCUAACAGCGGGCGCUCACUCCACUCCCGGGAUUUGAACCUGCGACCUUUUGGUUUGCAAGUUCAGCAGCUCAGUGCUUUAACACAUUUCGCCACCGGGGUUCCUGCCAUAGAUUUGGGCAAAAUAUCAGGAGAUAAUGCUUCUAGAACAGGGGUCCUCAAAAUGUUAAAGGGGCGAAAUAUCUUUUGAAAAAAAAUACAAACAAAUUCCUAUGUACAAUGCACAUGUCUUAACUGUAUUAAAAAAACAAAACCCAAAACGACAACAAUGAAAAAACAAUACAAUAUUUAAAAAUAAAAACAAUUUUAACCAACAUAAUCCUAUUAGGAGUUAAAUGGGAAGUGUGGGCCAGCUUCUGGGCAAUGAGAUAGUCAAGUUAAUUAGGAUUGUUGUUGUUGUGUGCCUUCAAGUCAUUUCAGACUUUGGGCAAGCCUAAAACUGGGGGGGGGGAGGUAAAUGACCUUGGAGAGCCGUAUCCAUAAGCCUUAGUUUGGGAACCCUGUUCUAGAACAUGGCCAUACAGCCCGGAAGACUCACAACAACCCAGUGAUUCCGGCCAUGAAAGCCUUCGACAACACAUGGAAUAGAUUUUAAUGAGUCUUUCAGAAAGUUCAAGGCAAUGCAUCUGGCCCCAUACUGAGGAUGGGGAAAGUAUGGCCCAAUGCCAUGUACAGACUCUGAGGGACAAUUAUAUAGCCACUGAAACCCCUUUUAAAAUCCUCAACCCUCUCCAAAAUGUGUUGUCAAAGGCUUUCAUGGGUUGCUGUGAGUUUUCCGGGCUGUAUGGCCAUGUUCCAGAAGCAUUCUUUCCUGACAUUUCGUCCACAUCUAUGGCAGGUAUCGUCAGAGGUUGUGAGGUCUGUUGGAAACUAGGCAAGUGGGGUUUAUAUUAUAUAUCUGUGGAAUAAUGUCCAGGUUGGGAGAAAGAAUUCUUGUCUGAGGCAAGUGUGACUGUCUUAAUUGAUCACCUUGAUUAGCAUUUAAUGGCCUUGCAGAUUCAAAGUCUGGCUGCUUCAGAUCUUGUCUGAUCUUGGUUACUAAGCUGGGUCUGGCUAAUAGUUGGAUGGAAGACCACCAAUGAAUAGCUUAGGCUAUAUAGCAAAACCACCUCUGAAUAGUCAUUGCAUAACAAAACUAGAAAUUCAGGGCUUGCUAUAAGUCAACAGAGGAUGUAAACAUUUGUUUAAAUUGGGUGUUGUGUGGUUUCAGAGCAAUGUGGCUAUGUUCUAGCACAGGCAUGGGCAAACUUUGGCCCUCCAGGUGUUUUGGACUUCAACUCCCACAAUUCCUAAAAGCCGGUAAGCUGUUGGGAAUGGUGGGAGUUGAAGUCCAAAACACCUGGAGGUCCGACGUUUGCCCAUGCCUGUUAUAGCAGCAUUUUCUCCUGAUGUUUCGCCUGCUUCUGUGGCUGGUAUCUUCAGAGGAUUUGUUUAAAUCUUUGUUUAUCCAUGUAAUGACCUCUAAUCCUUAUUCAAGCGAUGUAACUCCUGUGCUGGCAAAAUUGCCCCUUCAGACAAGCAUGAUCUGUGCCUUUUUGGCUUUGGAGGGAGUAAGAAGACUCAGUCUUGUUCAAUCUGCAGAGGUUUCACUAAGCAAGGAGUCACACCACUAAAUUAAAAUGUAAGAUUAGACAAUAGGGUCAUUUUGACAAAAAGAACUGUAGAAAUGUUAACUUUACCUAACUAUAGUAAUAAGACAUAUUAUUACACAAUAUUUGGAAAAAAUAAUUUUAAUAAAUGUAUCUGGGCAUCAUCACACUCACAUUAAAUGCUCCCAAUUGUACCUGGCUUAAGCUGCCAGUGUCAACUCACCCUUUAAUGUCUAUAAUUGCAGCAACUAUUAAGCUGUGCCCAUGAAAUUAAAUUGUUAGAAUUUUUUUUUUGCAGGAAACAGAAAUUAUUUUGUUAUGAACAGGAUUUGUGAGCUUUAUUGUUGUGGUGGUGAUGACGGUGUGCCUUCUGCAAGGAUGUUGCCCAGGAGAUGCCCAGAGGUUUGAUGUUUUACCAUCCUAUGUGGGAGGCUUCUCUCAUGUACCCUCACGGGGAGCUGGAGCUGACAGAGGAGCUCACCCCAGGGCCAUAGCCAGAAAAAAAAUUGGGGGAGUAUUGAAUCUUUUUUUUAGCCAAUCAUGAAGAGUAGUUCCAUAACACAAAAUAAUAUAGAAAUCAGGCUCCAUUGACAAACUUCACUGGACACUCAUGAGAAUUUGGUUAACCAUUUAAAAUUCAUGAGUAAACCAGUUUUUUUAAAACCUGUAAAAUUUCGGGAGAGGGUGAGUUGAACCCCUAUCCCCCCCCUUUGGCUACAGCCCUGGUUCACCCCCUCUCCCUGGAUUCGAACUGCCGACUGUCAAUUGGCAGUUCUGCCGGCACAAGGGUUUAAUCCACUGCGCCACCAGGGGCUCAUCCAAGCAAUUAAAACAUCAAUAAUUAAAAACAUCAAUUAAAAUUACGCAAUCCAGUUUAUAAUCCAGGGCCAUUCCAUUUGUCAAUCACAUUAAUUCAAUUAUUGCACUUCUCCGAUUAUUGGUCAUAUGCUUUGUCCUAAAGCCACGUCUUACAUUUUUUCCUUAAGGUCAGGAGAGCGGGGCCUGAUCUGAUUUCAUUGGGCAGUUCCACAGAUGAGGGGCCACCACGGAGAAGGCCCUGUCUCCCAUCUCCACCAGUUGCGCAUGCGAGGGGUGUGGGACCGAGAGCAGGACCUCCCCCGAUGAUCUUAACUUUCAAGGUGGAUCAUCGAAGAAGAUACAUUUGGACAGGCAAGUACCUAAAUAGCUUCUCCCCCAGCGCACUCCCAGUCAUGUUCUGGAUUAUUCAUUGAAAAGGGGUGGAUGAGCAUCUAGAUACUUCCGGAGACGGGUGGGAUAAUCAGUCAUGACUCCAGAAACCCCAUAACUGAAGGCCUCGUCAAAAUCUUUGUCUUCAUUCAAGACCCAAAGAAGAACCUACAUGGGAGAGAGAUGAUUCUGAAUAUUGACAUUUCUGCAGAAAACUAGGGUUUUUUCAUACCUUUUUAAUGAGUGACUUAUUUAUUUAGCCAUUAACUCAAACAGUUCAGAAUGUUGCUGAAGUAAAAGUCGCAGGCACUAUUUUACAAUCAGCAAAGUGUGUUGUUGGAAGAAAAGCACUUUCUGAAGAGGAAAAGUCAUGGUGAUUUUGAUACUGAUUGACAUAUACAAAAUAGUUGCAGAUAAUACCACAGACACCUGAGAACCAAUGCAGAGUAAACUGUGAGCUGGAGACAGGAAGACAUUGGUUUAGAUUUAAUCUGAGCUAUGAACUGAAGAUGGUAGGUGUUUGUGGGCCUUUCUAUACUGCCAUAUAAUGCAGUUUCAUAAUGCAGUUUAACUGUACUGAACUGCAUUAUAUGGCAGUGUCGACUCACAUAAUGCAGUUUAACUGCAUUAUGAAACUGCAUUAUAUGGCAGUGUAGAUGGGGUCUGUGUUCUUAUGCAGAUAUAAAGGCCAUUGAACUUACUGGUGCUGAUUUCCAGGAAUACAUGAAACUACUAUUUUCAGAUUUCAGCUCUGCAUUUGCAGUGUAAAGAUGAACUACUUUACACAGUUCUUUCCAGUAAUAUAGGUAAAGUACUUUCAACAUUGCAGAUGGGCUAUAGGAGAGUUGUGUAGUUUCCUGCAGCAAGAAUAAAUCUAACACCAGAAAGACAGGAAACAAUUUUCUGGUAAUCUUUUGUGGGUUAGACUUACAGAACUUUCCACUCUAGUGCUUUUGUCUUUUUUUGUCUGUGGUUUGCUCACCUAGUGUGGAACAUCUGCACAAUGUUGCUGUAAUCGAUCCUGUUUCAAUGUAAUGUUGUUUCCUUUCAAUGGCCACCACCUGAUUGGUGGUAAUUUUUUAAAAAAAAACUUCUUGUGAUGCAAUCACAGCACUAGGUGAUCCAGUAUGGACAAGCAAGUGAUGUUGACAUAGCUGUCCGAAUACAGUGGUCUGCAACCCAACCAGAAAACAUUAAUGUUCAUUCUGUAUCACUCACCACCAUACCAUUUCUGAGAUGUUUGGGUUCGGGCCCACAUAAAAGUUCAUACCACAAUCAGUGCACUAGUGUGAUAUGUUGUUCUUUUUAUUAUUUAUGAGGAUAAAAAUUGUACAUUUAAGAUCCCUUCCACACUGCCCCUAUAUCCCAGGAUCUGAUUCCAGAUUAUCUGUUUAUCCCAGAUUAUCCGGCAGUGGAGAUGCAUAUAAUCAAGUUUAUAGCAGAUAAUCUGAGAUCAGAUGCUGGGAUACAGAGCAGUGUAGAAGGGACCUAAAUCUAACCUACCUUAGAGGUUUAAAGUCAAGAGGCAAGCUCUAAACAUAGAAUGAGAAAAGCUUGGUCCUUCCUGGUUUAAAUUGUGGGACAUCUCAAUUAAGAGUGAUUUAUCCAAUCUAUCAGACAGGGUAUAUAUUAAUUGUAUUUAUGCUCUGUUCAGUGUACAAUUAGGAACAUUAUUUUAUUACUGUAAGAUACUUCCAUCCUUCUCAUGGGAUAGCAGUAAUGGUAUACAAAUAAACUGGUAAUAAACACCCAUAUUCCUACUCUUCAUUCCCAUUUAAAAGGAUUUUUAAUCAUGUCAAAAGCAACUUGAGAACAUACUGCAAGUCGCUUCUAGUGUGAGAGAAUUGGCUGUCUGCAAGGAUGUUGUCCAGGGGACAUCUGGAUGUAUUAGCUAGGAGGCUUCUCUCAUGUCCCAGCAAGCUAGAGCUGACAGACAGGAGCUCACCCUGUCUCGCAGACUCAAACCGGCAACCUUCAGGUCAGCAACCCAACCUUCAGGUCAGCAGUUCAACCAGCAGAAGGAAUAUGCGCCACCAUGGCUCAUAUUCAAAAGGAUGGAAAGGCCAGAUGAAACCAUCCAAGCCAGGCCAAAUUUAUCUGCAGGUUCUUCCAGAUUAGUUUUAAAAAAAACAACCACAUUCUCAUGCUGUAGUUCCUCGAGUUUUGCGAAUGUAUUAGUGCCUCUGUGCCCACUCAUUCCAUUAGUGGGGAGUAGGAAUCUUCAGAGGAACUUUGUGGAUCUAUUGUGCUUCUGAAGAAUUUUGGUUUGCUGUGUAUUGUUGGAAGGGCAAAUUUUAGAAAUAUUUCCUAGAGUUACAAAGUUAUACUGCAGAAGUACAAGUUCACUGAUACACUGUAGCUCUAAAGAAAAAAAAGGAAGAAAGGAGGAAAAUGGAAGGUUACAUAUUGGUCUAAAAAAAUUUGAGGGUAGGAGUAACAUGUUGCUCUUAGUGCUGAGAAAUGCCUGAAAAUAGUCAUUAUUCAAGGACUGUAGAAAUGUUUGGAAAGUUUUAAAAUAACUCAAGCAUUAUAGCAUGAAAUAGCACACUCUCCUCGAAUUUUGUUUUCCUGUCUGGAGGAGCCCUCAUAAAGUGUCAGGCUAAUACCCUGUUUCCCCUAAAAUAAGACAUCCCCAGAAAAUAAGGCCUAGUAGAGGUUUUGCUGAAUUACUAAAUAUAAGGCCUCCCCUGAAAGUAAGACCUAACAAAGUUUUUCUUUGGAAGCAUGCCCUCCAAACAGAACACCAGAGCAUGCAGGAUCGGUAAAUGUACAUACCAGAGUGUUGUACAUGGAAAUAAUGGUCGUAACAAGAAAUUCUUGAUAGGAUUCAUAGUUUGGUUAUGCUGGUUUAUGAUGACAACUACUGUAUAUAAUGUUCAUUUUUUUGUUCAACAAUAAAUGUGAAUUCUUCUUCAUGGAAAAAUAAGACAUUCCCUGAAAAUAAGACCUAGAGCAUCUUUGGGAGCAAAAAUUAAUAUAAGACAAUGUCUUAUUUUCGGGGAAACACGGUAGGAAAACCCAGACUUUGAUCAUUUUCAUACCAAAGAGAUUUCAGUGGCCCACGCCCUGACUGAGUUCCUUUCAAUUUACCUGUAUUCCUCUGUCUUCGAGAUGCUUAAGAAGUUUUUUCCUCAUUGUCAUUCUGUUUGAGAAAGGAAUGGACAGGACAGAGAAGGUUGUUUGUUACAUGUUGUUUGUUAUAGACACCAGCAAAAUAAAUAAUUAAAAAGACUGAAAAAAAUAUGGUGGCGCAUGUUAAAUCAGCAUCCGUUAUGUUUUAAUUUAGAGAAAGUGGUUUUGUGAUAUAUAAACUGUGAAGACUACUAGGUUAGUCAUAUCAUUUUGGUCAAACUCAAGGGAAAUCAGGUAUUAAAGCUUGCAGAUUUAGUUCAGCUCAUCCUAUGAAUUCUGAAUUAUUUUCAGAAAAACAAGAUUGUGCGAAAGGACUUUCAAGCUUGGUUAGUGAUCAAGGAUGCUUUAUGAGAGCUGAGCAGGAAAAGUAUUUUUUGCUGUCACUCACUUGUAGGAAAAUUUUGCCAGCAGUGCUCCCAACUUGCCCCUUUUCACUGGAAAAUAUGUCCUAUGAUUAGAAAAGACAAAAACAUAAAAGCGGUGAGAAUAUAAAACCAGUAAGAAAAUGUCACUUUCUGUCAUUCUUCCUCAAAGGUGCUAGAUUCCCAGUGUCUUUUUUAACAAUCCUGAUGUCACCUCCCUCCCUCACUACACAAAGUAACAUUCAUUAAUUACUGUGUUAUCAUACCAUUUCCCCCAAAACUAAAGUAUUAGUGAGCAUAAAAUAAAAGUCACAAUGAGGGGCAGAACAACCAUAUCACAAAAGCCUGACUGCUGAUUUUUCACUGUGAUUGUAAACUUUACUAGAGGCUUUAGCGUCUCAGAAUGCAAUCACUAGAAGUUGCUUUCUUUAUUUAAUUCCUAAUUGCAGUGGCAGCCUGAGCUCUACUUUUUAUAUGUUCCUGGGAUCUAUUAAGCCUGUGUGAAACAGAUGGUACUUUAAUGGCUCUCUCCAGUGUGGAGAAAUAUUUAACUUGGCAGUGGCAAGAAAAGAUUGAGUCCCUUUUAAGUUAGCAGCACUAAUUCUCGCAUUUAUUUGUUCAGAAAAUAGUUUUGAAUAAAGAGCAUAUUUAACUGUAGACUGAAGUACUAACAGCCCAGAAUGAGUUCUAAGAAGUCUUGGCUCUUAUCUCGCACCCCUUCUAUAUAUACUGCCAUAUAAUCCAAAGCAGAUAGUCGACAUUAUCUGCUUUGAGCUGGAUUAUAUGAGUCUACGUUGCCAUAUAAUCCAGUUUAAAGAAGAUAAUCUGGAUUUUAUGUGGUGGUGUAGAAGGGGCCUAGGACUUCCCAGAAUCGUGAAGAUCAAGAUGGCUCUGGGGCAGCAGAGGGACCACUUUAAUUCCCAAUGACCUUUCCACCCUCUAAUUAACAAAUAGCACCUAAUAAUGACAACAACAACAACAAAGUAUGGAUUGUCGAUGUUGCAAUCUCAGGUGACAGCAAGAUUGAGGAGAAACAACUGGAAAAGCUGACAUGAUAUGAGGAUUUAGAGAUUGAAUUACAAAGACUGUGGCACAAGCCAGUCAAGGUGGUCCCAGUGGUGAUCGGCACACUGGGUGCAGUGCCUAAAGGCCUUGGCCUGCACUUAAACACAAUCGGCGCUGACAAAAUUACCAUCUGCCAGCUGCAAAAGGCCACCUUACUGGGAUCUGCACGCAUUAUUUGCUGACACAUCACACAGUCCUAGACACUUGGGAAGGGUCCGAUGUGUGAUCUAAUACAACAGCCGGCAGAGUGUCUGCCGUGGACUUAUCUUGUUGUGUUUCAAAUAAUAAUAAUAACAACUUUAUUUUUAUAUCCUGCAUCCAUCUCCCUACAGAGACUCGGGGCAGCUAACACAGGGCCGAGCCCAAAAAACAGAUAAAAGCAGUGCCCAUCAAGUGGACACUGCUGGCCAAUUUGUGAUAAAGUUAAUCUCUUAUUCCCCCUUUUUAUGCUAUGUAGAGACCAUAUUUUGGUCUGUUCAUACCUCACUCUUACACAGUAGUACAUUGUGUGUACAUUGGGCCAUGGUGGCACAAUGGGUUAAACCCUUGUGCCAGCUGAACUGCUGACCUGAAGGUUGAUGGUUCAAAUCCACCAGAUGGAGUGAGCUCCCAUCUGUCAGCCCUAGCUUCCCAUGCGGGGACAUGAGAGAAGCCUCUAUCAGGAUGGUAACACAUCUGGGCAUCCCCUGGGCAGCAUCUUUGUAGAAGGCCAAUUCUUUCACACCAGAAGCAACCCAAUUUGCUUCUGACAUCAUAAAAACCCUCUUACACAGCUAGUGUUCAAGGACUCUGGUCAGCAGCUGGUAUAGCAAAAAGACCAAACAAACUGAGGUGGAAAUAGAGGGUGGUUCGCCAUUUCAUUCUCUUUUCCCCAAUUUGAACUGACAGCAAGUCUAGGACUGUUGUAUUUCUGACUUCCUCUCCCCAUCCCCUUUUGCCCAUCCAUCCCCUGUCACCUGUUCAUGAUGGAAGGCAGCACAAACUCCAGGAAGGACUCCUUCAAGGGAAUGAAAGGCAAGAGCCCCACGUAAUAGAGAAGAAGUAUUAGGAUGCCACGCGACAGAGAAAAAAUAUAGGGCAUCUCGGUGUUCUACAGGAUAGAUAAGAAGGAUAAAAUAAUGUUAUGUCACAUUUUGUAAGGACAAUGUAACUUCUAGAUUGAACAGCUGGGAUCAAUUUGGACCCAUCCCUGAUCAUUACACAGAUCUCUGCUGGUCAUUAUUGCAUGCUGCCUAUUUUGUAGUCUGUCUUUCAAUUAAUUAUAAUAUGAUGUUCCAGGAAAAGCAGGUCCUUCUGUUUUUCCCCUUGGGAAGAGGGAGAUCAGAGAAUGUCUUACAUUUCUGUUAUACAUUUAAAACAUUUGAUAAUUGCACUUUCAUGCAAACAAAAAAAAAUUAUUUUUGGACUGCCAUUCUCAAAAUCCUCCUAAGAUCCAGCCAUUAUUCAAUGCUGGCUGGGAGAUUUUGGAGACUGUAGUCCUAAAAGGAACACUUUCAAGACCUAUUUGAAUUCUUUGUGGGCACUUCCUAGUGCUUUUACUGAGAUACAAUUCACAGGGUGUUUGCAUUAAAGAACAUGACAUCUUCACAAGUUUGAAAUGGUUAAGCAAGCAAUCUAUAUAUAUAAAAGAGUGAUGGCAUCACGGCGACCCACAAAUCAACAAAACUACAGGCCCCCCAACCUCGAAAUUUGACAACACAACCCAUCAUCCACGCCUCUAGGUUGAUACAACAAAAAUAAAAGAAAAAUAAAGUCCUAAUUAGAGAGAGAGGAAUAAUUGCUUUUAUCCAAUUGCUGCCAGUUAGAAGGCUAAGCUCCUCCAACUUGGUCUCCUAGCAACCCAAUAAAAAAUAAUAAAAAACACUAAACAAAUUGAUACAAUAAAAUACUAUAAUAACAGAAAAUAACUAAAAAUAAUACAAGAAAAUAAUAAAAUAUAAUAAAUAAAAAUAUAACUUACAAUAAAAUUAAUAAAAAAUGCAAAUAACGUCAAAUAAAAAUUACACAACAAUUUUUAACCAAUACCACCACCACUUUGCCACAGCAACGCGUGGCCGGGCACAGCUAGUAUCAAAUAAGGCUACAGAAACCAACUGAAAGUGAGCAGGAAGCUGCCUCUUUGAUAUGUCUUUGUUUUGUUGUUAUGGGAUGCAUCUUCCUGCCCCUCUGUAUGAAGAGUCCUCCGUAGGGUGAAUUCCUGCCUGCUCUCCUACAGUCAAAAACUUGGUCCAGUAAACAUUGCUUUGUUUACGAGCCUGAUAACUGUGAAAGUGGUAAAGGACAAUUGAUACAUACGGCUGCACAGCAUUUCUUCAGUAUCUUUCCCUCAAAGGAAGCCCAGAUGGUUAUAUGGGAGCGCUCAUAUUGCCGAACAAGGUUGGCUACCUGUGUGCAAGACCAGAUAGUAGAGAAGGACAAAAUCAGAAAGCAAUUUUAAUAAAAAGAGAUGAGAUUUUCAGAGUCACCUUGGGCAUGCAAAUGGAGCAGAAGGGGUUAAACAUAUGGUAUCUAGGAUUACUGCUCAUUCCAUGGAAAUUAAGAUUAUGUAUUGUGGUCGGAUGUAUUUGUAUGAAUUUUAUAUGUUGUACGCCGCUUUGAAUCCCAGCCACGAGAGAAAAGCGGGAUAGAAAUGAAUAAAUAAUAAUAAUAAUAACAAUAAUAAUAUUCCAUUGUAAAUUGUCACAUACAUAGAAUCAUAGAAUCAUAGAAUAGUAGAGUUGGAAGAAACCUCAUGGGCCAUCCAGUCCAACCCCCUGCCAAGAAGCAGGAAAUUGCAUUCAAAGCACCCCUGACAGAUGGCCAUCCAGCCUCUGCUUAAAAGCCUCCAAAGACAGAGCCUCCACCACAGUCCGGGGCAGAGAGUUCCACUGCCGAACAGCCCUCACAGUGAGGAAGUUCUUCUUGAUGUUCAGGUGGAAUCUCCUUUCCUGUAGUUUGAAGCCAUUGUUCCGCGUCCUAGUCUGCAGGGCAGCAGAAAACAAGCUUGCUCCCUCCUCCCUAUGACUUCCCCUCACAUAUUUAUACAUGGCUAUCAUGUCUACAGUCCAGUCUUUCUGACAUAUAAUUUUCCACUAGGAAAUUAUUUUAAAAACAACACUAUUUUAAUCUGUAAACUCUGGUUUCUUCAUUUUGCCUUUCUUGGUUUCUAGUUUCCUUCUCAGAGAAGGUUGGAGUAUCGAAUGCACUGAAGAGAUAGAAUGCUGAAUUCAAGUUUUUAAAAGUACAGUAUUAUGUAUAGAAUGGCCUGGACUGAGGUGUCCAGGGUUUUUUUUAAAGUACAGAGUAUGUGAGAAGAUACUCUGUGAGAAAAGAUAUGUGUUUACAUAGUUCUUCUGGAUCCUUGUGGAUAUGGUUGUGUUUUCAGCAAAAAUCUGGGGGCUGAGGUAGAGGCAAAAGCAGAUAAUAGAACAAGAAAGGAGUCUUAUCACACAUAAAAGACAGACAGAUUAAUUGUGGCAUGUAUUCUUUCCACUUCAUAAAAUAUAUCAGCUGCAUAGAUCUAGUGUAUAUAGUCCAUUAAUGUUUAAACCAUAAUAAACCUGCUAGCCUUUACAGUGUCGCAACAUUCCUUUUUAUUAGUGGGAUAGUGAAAAUGCAGAGGCAAAAAAGAAACAGUGUUAAGCAGAGUUCACUACAGGAUGCAAAUGUUAUACACAAGAGUCUGUCAAGAUGCAAAAGUGAAAGCAUUUGUCACUGGGGGACUGAACCUUGAAAGGAGAAACCAACAAACAUCUAGGUUGUUGUGAGUUAUCUGGUCUGUAUGGCCAUGUUCCAGAAGCAUUCUGAAACAUGGCCAUACUGCCCGGAAAACUCACAACAGCCCAGUGAUUCCAGCCAUGAAGUCUUCCACAACACAAAAAUCUAGGUCUUGUACAUUAUUGGGAUGGACAAAAGAAAAACACCCUUACUUUCUGUAUGAGUUCAUCAAUGUCUUCUUUAAUUUCAACAUUGAUAGGUAUUCCAGGAAAUUGCUGGAAGACCUCUUCCAACCUUGGAAUCCGGUGAUCAUCCCCAUGGGAGAAGGAACCUGUCAGAAGGUGUAGGUGGUAGGAGCUUAGAGCAUACCUUGCAAGGGUGAAAUUUCACCAAGUCUUUACACCACCCAUCACAGCAUUCCUCACCCAGAACAACUGUUAGUCCUACUUACCCGGUGAAAAUGUCACCUCCAAAGAAUCCUUAUAGGGUGGCAGAUCCUAUGGGACACAAUGAGAGUAAGGACUAAGGAGCCAGGACACCUUGUUUUUCAGGUAAGUAAGUAAGUAAGUAACUUUAUUUUUCCAUCCCGCCACCAUCUCCUGACCCAGGGCGGCUAAUAUGGGACAAAGGCCCGAAAACAAAACAAGUACAACAAUUAAGACAUAUUACAAUAAAUAAAACACAAUAAAAUCAACAUUAUAAAAACAAUACAUUACAUAAAUCAUAAAAAAUCAUUAAAAGCAUAAAAUGAGAAAACCAAAUUACCAUGAAAUGAACCACCAGGUUGAUGGAGGGGGAUGGAGGAGGGUUAGGUCUUUUCUUUUGGAAGAGACAUAGGAUUGAGUGGCUUGUAGAGUGUGUGUGUGUAUAUAGAUGUUUGAAGAAAGCAGUCCUGGGUUUUCUGGGAGGGAGAUGAGUUCUUAAGAUUAGAAGUAUGAUCCUGGGCUAUGUUUUGCAGAGACAUUAUACAGCCACUUUGCUAAGUCUGAACAGCUUUGAGCUUGGUCAGUAUCUUGGAUGGAAACUCCACAUGCACUGAGUUCCAUCACAGAAGAAAAACGAGGUAUAAUGUGGCCGUAAAUAACAGAAGCAGGUUAACUUGAGAGCUAGAACCAUAGAGUCCUUACCGCAUAGUUUGUCUCAGUGAUCUUAAUGUCGCGUCCUGUCUGGCGUAGCAGUUCAUUAUCAUGGGACACAACCACAACUCCAUCUCUUGUUAACUGGCAGUCAAGCUCUAGCAGGUUUGUCCCCUGGCUCAACGCACUAGGAAGAUGGACAAAGAGGUCAGUGUUAGAGAUUGUAUGGCAGCAGUAGGGGUGAAAGCCAAGACCAUGCAAAGAAGGAUGAGGGGGCAUCACUCACUGAUGAAAGGCUUCCAAAGUGUUCUCAAUCCGUUCACCAGAACCUGAGAAGGAAAGAGGGAUGUUGGGAAAGGCAGGCGAUGAAGCUCCCAAUGUCUGAUAUUUCCCCCUCCUUCCCCCAGGAGACCAAACGCCCAUAUGGGCUGUAGGAAUGUGGCAAUACAAGUCUAGGGCACUGAAGCAGAAAGACAUACGGACAUCCUACCUGUCAGAAGGAAAAGAGGAUCAGGUGUCUGGGACUGAUUUCUCCUCCACACUCAACUCUGUUAACUCUGAAUUGCAGCACAGCACACCUGCUUUCCAGGUUCUGCGAGUGCCACCCCCCUCAAUCAAAUUCCCAAUUAGGUCAGCAAAAACUCACCACCACGAUGAGAGACAUGCCGGCAUCGGACAGGAAACCUUUUCUUUUUGUGGAGAAGAUGUGGGUUCUUUCUCAGGCAGUGAGAUGCCAGCGCAUAGAUCCCAAGAGCAGGCAACCCAUAAAAAAGUAAGUUGGAGCUCAUGGUGGAGUCUUGGGUUCCUCUUAAAAGCAGAUGGUACUCAUAGGUCAGAGGAAAAAAUAGAAGCAGGUUCUUCAGAUCCUCUGGGAAGAGACAGGAUUGAUGAAUGACAUCGGGUAGACUGGGAUCCCUGAAAUCCUGGGUCAGGUACAAUGAGCAGUGUUGGCCAUCAUGGCCAUGAGUGGCUGGAUUGGCAGGUUCUUGUGGUUUUUAAGUCACAGUAGCAGGAAGAAGGGUGUGUGGAAGGCAGUCAAGAUAGGUGUUCACCCCUCCCCUUGGCUUGACAGAACCUCCCUAGUCUUCAGCUUGCACACCUUCAUCCACAUGAAUGGCUAUGUAUGUCACACACACACACCAGUCAUACACCUGUCCUUUCACGCCCCAUGCCAACCUGUACACUUUACAGUCUUGCCACUCCCCGGGAUAAAGAGCAUUUUUUUUCUUGGCAGCAACACGCCAGGAGUGGGUGCUUUCGGUCCUGUUUUGAACCACUUGACCUCGUUUCUCUUCCAAGGAAGACAUAUGACUUUAACCUGAACAAAAUUCCAGAGUCCUCUUAAGUCCAGCAGAGCUCAUGCCUGAAAUUAAAUGAAGACCAAACAGGGGGACAUUGGGGGAUUUCCUUCCAUUGCAAAUAAUAGUCUCAAUAAAGUGAGUAUCCCUAGGUUAGUUGCAGGGGAAUUAAAAAUUAAAUUCCUUUUCUUUUCUGACUUUGGACCCAUUAUUUUCCCCUCCCCACUUGAUAUGACUUUUAAUAAUAAUAAUAAUAAUAAUAAUAAUAAUAAUAAUAAUAAUAAUAAUAACGAUCUGCAAAAGGCCACCCUACUGGGAUCUGCGCGCAACAUCCGAAAAUACAUCACACAGUCCUAGACACUUGGGAAGUGUUCGACUUGUGAUUUUGUGAUAUGAAAUCCAGCAUAUCUAUCUUGUUUGCUGUGUCAUAAAAUAAAAUAAUAAUAAUAAUAAUGCUUACCUACAGGCUGAUACUUUGGACCCAAAGACACGCAGAGAGAGACACAGAGAGAUGUUUAGCUUUUGCAGCUUGUGAUUGUGCCACCCAUUUGGCAGCACUCUGAGAAAUAUUUUAGUCCGUCAGAGAUAAGAUGCAUUCGAUCACCAGCCCUUUGUUCAGAAAAGAGAGUGCACUCAUGUAUUUGCUGAAUAACCCAGGCCUUCUGAGGCUCAGAAAGAAAUAAUAUAAUUCCCCCUCCCCCCGAUAAUUUCCUGCUAGAUUUUUAAGUGUAGUGUAUGCGCAUGUGCAUUUAAGCAGAUCAAUGUCUAAUUAUCAGAAUUGCUUUUCACUUCCUCCUUGAAAGACGAGAUGGUUCAGUCCACCUAAAACUGAUUAAUAGAGCCUGAAUUUGCAGUGGGAAGGGUAACAAGAUGGUGAGAAAAUGGUAACUAAAGAUGCAUUCACAGGCAAAACUGAUUCCUACUGUCUGUUCCAGUCCUUUUUUAGGCCUGGUUUGGAAACAGACUGUGAACUAGGUGUCUUGUUUAUGUAUCGCAGUAAGUAUGUGCAUAUAUAUUUUGCCCUUUAAUCAAUUCAUCCAAGGUUGGUUCACAGUAAAUAACUAUGAGCAAACAUCAAAGCAGAAUAAGACCAAGUUGUAAAACUUGACCAGCUAUUAGGAGUGGUAAAUUCAUAAUUCCCAUGGCAAUCAAAAUAUAAAAGGCAUGACAGAACAAAAAAAAAAAGGCAUGCCUGGUGCCAAGAAGAACGCCAAUAAAGAAAGCAUCAGGAAAGCCUCUAUGGAUUGAUAGUGACACAUACAAGAGAGACUGUAGCAAUGAGUUCAUGACCAUGUUGAGGUCUCUACAAUUUUUAACAGCUUUUGAGAUAAUUUUGACUACUGAUAGUAAACAUCCUGAUUCAUCUCAAAGUUAGGGCUGGAGGUUUCUUUGUGUUUGUGUUACACCUUCCACUUUCUCCAUGUGAGGAUUGCUUUUUACUAUGAUCCUGAGGGGAUCCUGAUGAAAGGUUUUACCUUUCAUGCUUUUAAAUAUUAAGUGAAAUUCUUGGAUGAGUUCACUUGAGGUGAUGCUGCGUUAGAACAUAUCCACGUGCUGAUUAUAUCCAGCUUUGGUUUUUAUCUUUGAUCAUAUUCAAAUUAGCAAUGAUGUCUUAGAACAGUUAUCUGGAAUAAAUAUGGGGUGAGUAAACAAAUGCUCAACCAACAUGAAACCAAACUGGUAGAGAAGGUGCUAUUUUCCAGCUUUGUCUAAAUUUUCCAAUUGUGCCCUCUACUGAAAAGCAGAGAUUUUCCUGCUGCUUCUUAUAAAUCAGUGCCUUAAUCAGAGCUGCCAUUAGAGACAAUUUAGAACAAAAUGAUGCCUAGGGUACUUAUAUUUAGGUGGAUGCAAGUUCAGCAUUGGAAAUGUUCAAUAUGUAUUCCAAUCCUCAAGAAAGGGAGCCCUGGGGUUUAAAGAAACCACUAAAUCACUGCAUUACUCUCCUGUGUAAGCAAAGUGAUGCUCAAAACUAUGCAACAAAGAUGUUUUGCCAUACAUGGCAUACAAAAUGUCAGACGUCUAAGUUGGGUUCAGGAAAGGAAGGAGCACUAUGAAUCAUAUUGUAGACAUAUGUUGGCUAAUGAAGUACAUCAAAAAAUUUAAAAAGAAAAUCAGUAAGGCCUUUGAGUGUGUAGAUCUUGCAAAAGUUUGGAUUAUUCCCAGAGAAAUGGGUUAGUCACAGCAUUUGCCCUGAUGCAUAGCGGCAAGAGACUAUGACCAUGAGAGAAUAUGGCAAAACAGGUGGAUUCCGAUUACCAAAGAGGUCUGGCAAGGAUGCAUUUUAUUACUCUAUCUGUUUCACUUGCAUGCUGAACAUAUACAUAAGGCAGGAUUAGAAUAAGAGGAAAGAAGCAUGAAAACGAGAGAAAGGAAUGUCAAGAAAAUCAACAAUGCAAGAUAUACAGUAAUGCCAUACUAACAGCAAAAAAUAGCAAAGACUUGGCCCGAUUACUGAAGAAAGUAAAGGAAAAAAAGUACAAAGACAGGUUUGCAGGUGAACAUUAAAGAUGACUACAGAUGAUUUAACAUACCUUUAAAGUAAAGGAUGAAGACAUCAAAAUAGUUAAAGAUUUAUCAUGCCUUGAUUCACCCAUUAAUUAGAACAGAAACUACAGUAAAUAAAUCAGAUGGAGACUAGGAUUUGGAAGAAUAGCUAUAAGGAAACUAAGCUCUCUGAAGUAUAAAGAUAUCUCAUCUAAUAUUAAAGUUAGCAUUGCCCAUAACAUAUUUCCAAUUUCUAUGUUUGAUUACGAAUGCUGGACAGUGAAGAAAGUUGACAUGAAGAAAUUUAUCUGAUUUGAAAUCAUAGAAUAAUAGAGCUGGAAGAGACCACAUGAGCCAUCGAGUCCAAUCCCUUGCAAUGCAGGAAAAGCACGAUUAAAGCACCCCUGACAGAUGACAAUCCAACGUCUGUUUAAAAGCCUUCAAGGAAGGAACCUCCACUAGACUCUGAGGCAGAGAGUUCCACUAUUGAACAGCUCUCACGGUCAGGAAGUUCUUCAUAAUGUUCAGGUGGAAUCUCCCUUCCUAUAAUUUGAAGCCAUUGUUCCAAGACCUAGUCUCCAGGGAAGCAGAAAACAAGCUUGCUGCCUCUUCCUUAUGACAUCCCUUCAAAUAUUUAAACAUAUUUGUGGCGCUGGACAAGAGUUCUAUGGAUACCUUGAAGUACUAAAGCAAGAAAUAAAUAACAGAGCAAAUCAAGCCUGAACACCCUCCAGAAGCCCCAAUUAGUCAUACUGUGGCCAUAUCAUUAAAAAAAACAAAAACAAAAAAAACAGGAAUAACUAGAAAAAAGCAAUAAUGCAUCAGAGUACAGUAGGCAAAGAGAAAGGCUGCAUUACAGAUGGAUAGACUCAAUCAGUGAAGGCACAGCCCUGAGUCCUCAAAUCAAAGUUUGUUGAUAGCAGUUAAUUAUAAGCUAAGGCCACAUUUGCACUGCCAUAUAAGAGCCAGAUAAUCUGCUUUGAACUGGAUUAUAUUAGUCUACACUGCCAUAUUAUCCAGUUUAAAGUAGAUAAUCUGGAUUUUAUAUGGCAGUGUAGAUUGGGCCUUAACUACUCUUUGAGAUCCUAUAUGUACCAUUUGUGGGUGCUAAUGCAGAAAGAAAUGGUAUAGUAGAGUCUCACUUAUCCAAGCUAAACAGGCUGGCAGAAGCUUGGAUAAGUGAAUAACUUGGAUAAUAAGGAGGGAUUAAGGAAAAGCCUAUUCAACAUUAAAUUAGAUUAUGAUUUUACAAAUUAAGCACCAAAAUUUCAUGUUAUACAACAAAUUUGACAGAAAAAGUAGUUCAAUACGCAGUAAUGUUAUGCUGUAAUUACUGUAUUUACGAAUUUAGCACCAAAAUAUCACGCUAUAUUGAAAACAUUGACUACAAAAAUGCCUUGGAUUAUCCAGAGGCUUGGAUAAGCGAGGCUUGGAUUAGUGAGACUCUACUGUAUAUGUUCCGAGUAGGUGAUGAUGGAGUGACUUGGGGGUCUUUCAUCCAUAGGGUCAUUAUAAGUAAGUCGACUUAAUGGCAGUUCAUAAAAAGUCCAGAAUUUAGUAAAAACAAAGCCUUGACAGAUAAUGAUUCUCAUAUUGUAGAAUAAUCUGACAAGGCUUUGCUUUUACUGAGAUUGUUUGGACCUAACACUUUCUGACUUAGAAGGAUUUUUUUCCCCUCGGGAGGUUAUUGAGCCCUUUUCCAAUUAUUUUAGAUUACAUUCAUUUUAUUGCUUUUAACGAAUUGUGAUUUGUUUAUAAAGUUAUGAAUUAGUAUAGAAAUAUGGAAGAUGGGGAAGACUUCUGUUCAAGUCUUUUAAAUCUUUGCUCAUAUAUUUUUUAAAAAAGGAUCAUCUCUUGUAGUAAAAAUCUCUGAACAGGUUCCACUGCCUUCAUCCUUUUUCUGCAGCUCUUGUUGUUUCCCAUUUAUGCCCUAUAUAUGUACCUACACUUUAUUAGCUGGGAUAAUGGGGAAAAGCCCUGGUUGUCAGGGGAAUCCAGUAGAUCCACUCAGCUGUGGCACACAUGCUUGCCCUCGCCCUUGCCCAAAGUGGCAGGGGUGUCAAAUGCCAGUGGAAAGGGUCACCCCAAAGAAGUGAUCCAUCUGCUCAGAAAACGUGCUGGCCUCCUUCCUUUGCAUUGGUACUCUGUGAACAUUUGCUUGCUUGCUUUGUAAUGCAACCUGUCAUAGGCACAAAAAGUGAAGUGUGAGGAAUAUACUUGUUAGAUAUCUUGUUGCUGUGACAUUUGUUGCUUGGCUACGGUUUCAGAAUAGGCUGAGCUUUCAUAACCUCACAGUACGUUGGUGAAAAAAGUAUUCUUGUUAUGUGAAUUUGGUCAGCCAUUUUAGAUUUGGAGGAACAAAAAAUAGUAUUUUAGAAGACCAUAGCAAUUGUUUUGCUUCAUCCUUCAUAACAAAGAUCCAUUCUUUUUUCCACAUUUGCGAGUGUUUGUUGCAUACAGUGCAAUACUUUCCAGUUAUUAGUCUUUCAUAAUCGUUUCUCAGAUAAUAUAUUUUCAAUAAGGGGUCUUCUAUUUGAAUAGUAUAUAUAAAGUAUUAUCGGCUCCAAAUUAAUAUCCGUUUCCUCCUUGUCUACAGUCUGAUAGCUUCCCCUAUGUACAUUUUUAUAUUAAUUUUACAUUGAGAUAUUAGAUCAUUGGUUGCCAUUCAUUAACAAAGUUCUCUAUAGGUUCUCCUCUUAAGAGCACAGUUAUUUUAUCCAUUAUCAUCAAAUCUGUAAUGUAUUUUUCCCAGUUUUCUAAGGGAGGUAUCUCUGAGGUUUUCCAAUGACUGGCGUAUACUAUUCGAGCUGCCACUGUCAUAUAAAACAAAAUGUUUCCAAAUUUCCUUUCUAGUUCUUCACCGGGCAUGUUCAAAAGGUACAUUUGUGGUGUCAUUUUGAAAUUUGUGUUUAAUAUUUUUUCUAGAUAUACAUGAAUUUGUUUCCAGUAGUUGUUUACUUUGUUGCAUGACCACCACAGGUGGUAAAAUGUGCCUUUUUCUUUCCCACAUUUCCAAAAUUUGUCGGUGCAGUUGUACAUCUUCGCUAAUCUCUCUGAAGAGAGAUAUCAUCGCAGGUGCAUUUUGUAGACGUUUUCUUUUAGGCUUUGACAUGCCGUGUACUUAAUUCUUCUCUUCCAUGUUUUUUCCCAUUGAACCAUUUUUAUCUCUUGGCCGAUGUUUUGAGCCCAUCUAAACCAUCGAGUCCUUUCCUCUUCCAUGUGCCAAGUCAAUAGAUUUUUGUAUAUAUAUGAUAUAAGUCCUUUGUAUAUAUAUGAUAUAAACCAUGUUUUUUGCAAUCUGGAAGCCCAAGGUUCGACGUUGUUCUUUAAAUUUCUCACACAGUUGUCUAUAUAGAAGUCAAUUUCAUUUAAGGCCCAUUUGGUUCAGUUCUCUAGGGAUUUCAUUUCUGAGUUUUCUAACUUGGUCUGGAUCAGCUCCCUGUAAGUUAACCAUUUCCCUUGUAAGAUGUUCUCCCUUUUGUAGUAUGCCUCAUCUGGGGACUUCCACUCCGGCAUUUUUGUAUAUACCUAUGUUCCAGGUAUUUAGAAUUGGUCUCCGUAUGUAAUGGUCAUUAAAUAUGCCUAUUAGUUUGGACUUUCGUAUAUCCAAAAAUGCAUGCCACCCAAAUGGGAGAUUUAUGCCAUCUAAAUCUAAUAGCUCAUUGUCUUCUAGGGUCACCAAUUCUUUAACCCAGUCCAAACAGCACGCGUGAAAAUAGAGUUGUCAAUUUGGAAAUUUCCAAAUUUACUACAAAGAUCCAUUCUGAUCUUGUCUCUUAAAAUCCCCUAGUCUGAGAAAUAUAGAAAUAGGGCAUGAUGGAAACAACCACUUCUUGUGGUCUGUCUCAGCAUUCAAUAUUUAGAGGUAAACUGCCUCUGAAAAUAAAGGUUAAACUUCAGUUAUUAAAACCAUUCACCUCCAAUAGUUUCUGCGUUCCUUUUUUACAAGCCUUUCGAGUGUGCAGUUUGUGAUAGUACCGGUAAUUAAAUUUUCUUUUUGGUCAUCUUCUUUUGUUAUUUUAUUAAAGCAUGACAAAAUAAUUAACUUCAUUGUUACACUUUAGAUUCUCAAUAGUGACCUGCCUUGCAGGAUGCUUAUAAAAUUACAAUACAAUAUAUGAGAAGCGUAUUCUAAAGUUUAAAAUGCUCUUCCUAUGUGCUGUAAUUGUAUUUUUUGUAAACAUCUGUAGAGCAAGUCAUUAUUAUUAUUUCUAAGUUUCAUAAGGUGAGCCUGGAGAAAGCUUAUUUUCUUCUCGUUAGAAGCAACUUGAGAACAUACUGCAAGUCCCUUCUGGUGUGAGAGAAUUGGCAGUCUACAGAGAUGUUGCCUAGGGAACCCCUGGAUGUGUCCUUCGGGAGAUGGUAGCGGGGUACAAAUAAAGUUUAAUAAUAAUAAUAAUAAUAAUAAUAAUAAUAAUAAUAAUAAUAAUGCGUUACCAACCUGCUGCGAGGCUUCUCUCAUGUCCCCGCAAGCUAGAGCUGACAGAUGGGUGCUCACCCUAUCUUGCGGAUUCAAACCAGCAACCUUCAGGUCAGCAAUCCAGCCAGCACAACGGUUUAACCCAUUGUGCCACUGCAGCUGUAUUGGAGAAAGUUGAGAGAUAAUAAUAAUUUCCUUGAGGCCACUUUGUACAUUUAGGCAAAUAUCACUCUUUAAGCCACUUCACCACAACAGCUUUCCAGUGUGGCAAUGAAUCCCCUUAUCCGAUCAUGGAGGAAAAAGAAAUGGAUGUAGUGAGUUGUGGCCCUCUUGAAAAUCUGGGCAGGAUUAGGGGGAUUUAACAUUACUAAACUACGCAUUAUCAGGUAACAAGCACAAGCAGGGAAUCACUUCCUUGCAUUUUUUCAGAUGCCUGACUGACCACUGUUUGGACUAAAAUUGUCGUGCUGUGUGAAGCUUUAGUUGGUUCUUGCUUGGCAAUUCUACUCCUGGGGGCUACAAAUCUAAACACCUUAUCUUGUAUUUGUUAAUUUGCUGUUGUCUUUUCUAAAGCAUUGAUUGCUUACUAUUCAUUAGUCACUCAUGAUGCAUUUUAAUUUUCCAGCACAACAUUAAUAUCACAGUGAAAAGGUGACUUUUCUGUCUCGUUAUCAUAGAAUCAUAGAGUUGGAAGAGACCCCGCAAGCCAUCCAGUCCAACCUCCUGCUCUGCAGGAAAAUACAAUCAAAGCACUCCUGACAGAUGGCCAUUCAGCCUCUGUUUAGAAACCUCCAAUAAGGAGACGCCACCACACUCCUAGGCAGCAUAUUUCACUGAAGAAAAGUUCUUACCAAAAGUUCUUCACUCUUUUUGAUUUACCGUAUUUUUGAGGAUGGUAUUUUCAUGAUAAAGCUAGUGAACUGCUCUUUCUCUACCAUUUAUCUUGAAACAUUUUAUCAUGAGGUGGAUAGAAUUACUGUUGCGUUAGUUUCAGGCAUAGUGUAAAACAGGCCUAGUCAGUCAUGCAUGACCCUCCGAAUACUGUUUGGCAUCAACAUUCAUCAGCCCCAGCCAGCAAAACCAACGGAGAAGGGCAAGAGGAUUCAUGUUCCAACAAGAGGAGGGCUGCAUAUGACCCAGCCAUUAGCACUAGGCUUUCAAACACUCAUUUUUCAUAGGAAAUAUAUGAUCAGUCAAGGUUCUUGGUAAACAGAGAGAUAAAAUUAUAUAUUUUUUUCUUGAAAGUAGAAUAUCUGUCUUGAAACAAUUCCAGUUUCCUUGCGUGAAGAAUGUUAAUCUGAUCAAGACCUUUGCAUAAAGUUAUAUAAAAUCUCAAUCAAAUGUAUAUAAGACUUUAUGGCUUUGAACAUGUUGCAUUUAAAGUUUAUUUUAACAGUUUCCCCCUCCACCUAUUUCAAAUAAUCAGUGAGUUAAUGUCACCCAGGUCAUCACUGUAACUAUAAAUCACAUUAGAGUGCUCAGAGCAUAUUAAAUACCCUAUUAUCCUUAUAAUAAUAAUAAUAAUAAUAAUAAUAAUAAUAAUAAUAAUAAUAAUAAUAAAAAUAAAAAAACUUUAUUUAUACCCCGCCACCAUCUCCCCAAUGGGGACUCGGGGCGGCUAACAUGGGGCCAUGCCCAGAGCAAUACAGCAUAAUAAAAUAUAAAAACAACAUAUCAUAGCACCAUUUAAAAUACAAUAAAUAAUAAUAAACAGAACAUCAAGAAAUCAAAAAACAAUAAAGCAAGGGCAGGCUGCGUGAACACAGAGAUAAAACCUGGAGUGAGAGGGACCGAGGAGUACUCCACUAUGGGCAGGGACAUUUGGAAGGGGUAAUCUAGAGGAUAGAUGUUCGGAGGGGAGUAAUACGGAGAUAUAUAACAGAAAUUACUCACCGAAGGCACAGCGGAAGAGCCAUGUUUUCAAUUCUUUCCUAAAAGCUAACAGAGUGGGAGCUUGCCUUAUUUCAGUAGGUAGUGAGUUCCACAGUCGGGGGGCCACAGCAGAGAAGGCCCUCUCCCUUGUACUUACAAGGCGAGCCUGGGAUAACAAUGGUGAUAACAGGGCCUCCCCGGAUGAUCGCAAAGAACGGGCAGGUUUAUGGAAGGAGAUACGGUCACGGAGGUAGGUGGGUCCCAAACCGUUCAGGGCUUUAUAGAUGAUGGUCUGCACCUUGAAUUGGGACCGGAAGAUGAACGGCAGCCAGUGGAGCUCCUUAAACAAGGGAGUGGAUCUCUCCCUGUAAUUUGCCCCUUGCAGGAACAAUGUAAGAAGUCAUAGCACCUGAUCAAUUUAUCUUCAUAUUACUGGGAGUGAUUUUCCAGAGUUUCAGACAUUUAUCUUUAGCAGCCCUUUAGCUACAUCUGAGACAUCUAGCAUAUGGCCUAUGUGAUCUACCACUGAGCCUAUACAUAGUGCAUACAGGGACUGAGAUAAGAGACUAUUUUGUUGUUAAUUACUCCUUUUUACCUUAGGAAACAUUAUUGUCUUUUUUCUGUGUCAUGUCUUCUCAUGAUAUAUCCAAAACAUGACAAAAUCAAUUUAGUCAAUAUUCGCUUGUAGGAGGCAUUCCGGCUUCAUUUGCUCCUAGUUAAAGGUAAAGAUUUUCUCCUGACAUUAAGAGUAGUCGUGUCCAACUCGGGGUUGGUGCUCAUCUCAAUUUCUAAGCCGAAGAACUGGCGUUGUCCAUAGACACCUCCAAGGUCAUGUGGCCGGCAUGACUGUAUGGAGCACAAUUACCUUCCCGCCAUGGCGGUACCUAUUGCUCUACUCAUAUUUGCAUGUUUUCAAACUGCUAGGUUGGCAGAAGCUGGGGCUAACAGCAGGAACUCGCCCCACUGCCUGGAUUUGAACUACAGAACCUUUCAGUCAGCAAGUUCAGCAGCUCAGUGGCGCUGCACCAUUGGGGGCUCCUCAUUUGCUUCUAGAUCCAUUUAUUUGUCUUUUUUUGUGUAGUCUGUUGUAUCCAUAAAACACUCUUCUGCCACCACA